This 197-nucleotide unclassified non-coding RNA is filed under the name fungal sp. RNAcentral's name for it is "partial internal transcribed spacer region". The stretch from base 1 to 46 matches the Rfam family "Eukaryotic small subunit ribosomal RNA", at positions 1786 to 1831 of the family's 1831-position model. Lineage: Eukaryota; Fungi. The record is from RNAcentral.
AAGUCGUAACAAGGUUUCCGUAGGUGAACCUGCGGAAGGAUCAUUAACACGUAUCCAACGUUAAACCCCCCGUGAACUUUUAUUGCGAACCACGCCUUUGUUAAAAAGUAGCAAUACCUUUGCAUGAAAACGGGCCUGCGCUUAAUUGUGCGGCCACCAAACUCGAACAACUGUUAACAAUGGAUAUCUUGGUUCUC